GAUUAACGCUGGCGGCAUGCCUAAUACAUGCAAGUCAAACGGGUGUACUUGUACACCAGUGGCGAACGGGUGAGUAAUGUAUAGGUAACCUACCUUUAAGACGAGGAUAACAGCUGGAAACGGCUGCUAAUACUGGAUAGUACACUUUACCGCAUGGUUUUGUGUUUAAAGGCGCUUUCAAGCGCCGCUUAUUGAGGGGCCUAUAUCGCAUUAGCUAGUUGGUAAGGUAACGGCUUACCAAGGCGACGAUGCGUAACUGUGCUGAGAGGCAAAACAGUCACAUUGGAACUUAGACACGGUCCAGACUCCUACGGGAGGCAGCAGUAGGGAAUUUUCGGCAAUGGGGGAAACCCUGACCGAGCAAUGCCGCGUGAAUGAUGAAGGUCUUCGGAUUGUAAAAUUACUGUUGUUAGGGACGAAUGAUACGACUAGGAAAUGAGUUGUAUUUGACGGUACCUGAUUAGAAGACCCCGGCUAACUAUGUG
Molecule: ribosomal RNA, 485 nt
Filed under: uncultured bacterium
Lineage: Bacteria
Description: bacterial SSU rRNA
Rfam family: Bacterial small subunit ribosomal RNA
Source: RNAcentral